UCCGGCUUAUCACCGGCAGUUUCCUCAGAGUGCUCAGCUUAACCUGUUAGCAACAGAGGACGAGGGUUGCGCUCGUUGCGGGACUUAACCCAACAUCUCACGACACGAGCUGACGACAGCCAUGCAGCACCUGUGCACCUCCCACCCGAAGUGAAGGACUGCCUUUCAGCAAUCCAUAGAGGGCAUGUCAAAUCCUGGUAAGGUUCUUCGCGUUGCCUCGAAUUAAACCACAUGUUCCACCGCUUGUGCGGGUCCCCGUCAAUUCCUUUGAGUUUUAAUCUUGCGACCGUACUCCCCAGGCGGGAUGCUUAACGCGUUAGCUUCGACACAACCAGGGUUGAGUCCGGUUACAUCAAGUAUACAUCGUUUACAGCGUGGACUAC
RNAcentral lists this unclassified non-coding RNA (383 nucleotides) under uncultured Rickettsiales bacterium. Its description in RNAcentral is "contains 16S-23S intergenic spacer region". The record is from RNAcentral. Lineage: Bacteria; Pseudomonadati; Pseudomonadota; Alphaproteobacteria; Rickettsiales.